This is a small nucleolar RNA of Lathyrus oleraceus (garden pea), 107 nucleotides long. Lineage: Eukaryota; Viridiplantae; Streptophyta; Magnoliopsida; Fabales; Fabaceae. The record is from RefSeq and is a predicted model, not a curated record.
AGUCCAUGAUAUGUACAUAGUCUCAACAUAUCCUUGUACCUUUCCUAUGCUCCAAAAAGUGACUCUCCAUCUUUCAGUUUGAAUCCGUUAAUUUGGCUUCUUAGCAU